AAAGAUCCUUCCGUAGGGGAACCUGCGGAAGGAUCAUUA
RNAcentral lists this ribosomal RNA (39 nucleotides) under Pilobolus kleinii. RNAcentral describes it as "partial 18S ribosomal RNA". Lineage: Eukaryota; Fungi; Mucoromycota; Mucoromycetes; Mucorales; Pilobolaceae. The record is from RNAcentral.